This 468-nucleotide ribosomal RNA is filed under the name uncultured bacterium. RNAcentral describes it as "partial 16S ribosomal RNA". It matches the Rfam family "Bacterial small subunit ribosomal RNA", at positions 28 to 507 of the family's 1533-position model. The record is from RNAcentral.
GACGAACGCUGGCGGCGUGCUUAACACAUGCAAGUCGAACGGAAAGGCCCUGCUUUUGUGGGGUGCUCGAGUGGCGAACGGGUGAGUAACACGUGAGUAACCUGCCCUUGACUUUGGGAUAACUUCAGGAAACUGGGGCUAAUACCGGAUAGGAGCUCCUGCUGCAUGGUGGGGGUUGGAAAGUUUCGGCGGUUGGGGAUGGACUCGCGGCUUAUCAGCUUGUUGGUGGGGUAGUGGCUUACCAAGGCUUUGACGGGUAGCCGGCCUGAGAGGGUGACCGGCGACAUUGGGACUGAGAGACGGCCCAGACGCCAACGGGAGGCAGCAGGGGGGAAUAUUGCACAAUGGGCGGAAGCCUGAUGCAGCAACGCCGCGGGCGGGAUGACGGCCUGCGGGUUGUAAACCGCUUUCGCCUGUGACGAAGCGUGAGUGACGGUAAUGGGUAAAGAAGCACCGGCUAACUACGUG